UAGCUCAGUCGGUUAGAGCGUGGUGCUGAUAACACCAAGGCUGCGGGUUCGAUCCCCGC
RNAcentral lists this transfer RNA (59 nucleotides) under Apaloderma vittatum (bar-tailed trogon). It matches the Rfam family "tRNA", at positions 8 to 63 of the family's 71-position model. Rfam says of the family: Transfer RNA (tRNA) molecules are approximately 80 nucleotides in length. Their secondary structure includes four short double-helical elements and three loops (D, anti-codon, and T loops). Further hydrogen bonds mediate the characteristic L-shaped molecular structure. tRNAs have two regions of fundamental functional importance: the anti-codon, which is responsible for specific mRNA codon recognition, and the 3' end, to which the tRNAs corresponding amino acid is attached (by aminoacyl-tRNA synthetases). tRNAs cope with the degeneracy of the genetic code in two manners: having more than one tRNA (with a specific anti-codon) for a particular amino acid; and 'wobble' base-pairing, i.e. permitting non-standard base-pairing at the 3rd anti-codon position. The record is from Rfam by way of RNAcentral. Lineage: Eukaryota; Metazoa; Chordata; Aves; Trogoniformes; Trogonidae.